GCAGUCGAGCGGUAGAGAGAAGCUUGCUUCUCUUGAGAGCGGCGGACGGGUGAGUAAUGCCUAGGAAUCUGCCUGGUAGUGGGGGAUAACGUUCGGAAACGGACGCUAAUACCGCAUACGUCCUACGGGAGAAAGCAGGGGACCUUCGGGCCUUGCGCUAUCAGAUGAGCCUAGGUCGGAUUAGCUAGUUGGUGAGGUAAUGGCUCACCAAGGCGACGAUCCGUAACUGGUCUGAGAGGAUGAUCAGUCACACUGGAACUGAGACACGGUCCAGACUCCUACGGGAGGCAGCAGUGGGGAAUAUUGGACAAUGGGCGAAAGCCUGAUCCAGCCAUGCCGCGUGUGUGAAGAAGGUCUUCGGAUUGUAAAGCACUUUAAGUUGGGAGGAAGGGUUGUAGAUUAAUACUCUGCAAUUUUGACGUUACCGACAGAAUAAGCACCGGCUAACUCUGUGCCAGCAGCCGCGGUAAUACAGAGGGUGCAAGCGUUAAUCGGAAUUACUGGGCGUAAAGCGCGCGUAGGUGGUUUGUUAAGUUGGAUGUGAAAUCCCCGGGCUCAACCUGGGAACUGCAUUCAAAACUGACUGACUAGAGUAUGGUAGAGGGUGGUGGAAUUUCCUGUGUAGCGGUGAAAUGCGUAGAUAUAGGAAGGAACACCAGUGGCGAAGGCGACCACCUGGACUAAUACUGACACUGAGGUGCGAAAGCGU
RNAcentral lists this ribosomal RNA (709 nucleotides) under Pseudomonas sp. Y4_293_1. Its description in RNAcentral is "bacterial SSU rRNA". It matches the Rfam family "Bacterial small subunit ribosomal RNA", at positions 57 to 762 of the family's 1533-position model. The record is from RNAcentral. Lineage: Bacteria; Pseudomonadati; Pseudomonadota; Gammaproteobacteria; Pseudomonadales; Pseudomonadaceae.